RNAcentral lists this ribosomal RNA (944 nucleotides) under Microbacterium sp. Tpl-30. RNAcentral's name for it is "bacterial SSU rRNA". It matches the Rfam family "Bacterial small subunit ribosomal RNA", at positions 90 to 1046 of the family's 1533-position model. The record is from RNAcentral. Lineage: Bacteria; Bacillati; Actinomycetota; Actinomycetes; Micrococcales; Microbacteriaceae.
GAUCAGUGGCGAACGGGUGAGUAACACGUGAGCAAUCUGCCCUUGACUCUGGGAUAAGCGCUGGAAACGGCGUCUAAUACUGGAUAUGAGCUGUGGCCGCAUGGUCGGCAGUUGGAAAGAAUUUCGGUCAAGGAUGAGCUCGCGGCCUAUCAGCUUGUUGGUGAGGUAAUGGCUCACCAAGGCGUCGACGGGUAGCCGGCCUGAGAGGGUGACCGGCCACACUGGGACUGAGACACGGCCCAGACUCCUACGGGAGGCAGCAGUGGGGAAUAUUGCACAAUGGGCGCAAGCCUGAUGCAGCAACGCCGCGUGAGGGACGACGGCCUUCGGGUUGUAAACCUCUUUUAGCAGGGAAGAAGCGAAAGUGACGGUACCUGCAGAAAAAGCACCGGCUAACUACGUGCCAGCAGCCGCGGUAAUACGUAGGGUGCAAGCGUUAUCCGGAAUUAUUGGGCGUAAAGAGCUCGUAGGCGGUUUGUCACGUCUGCUGUGAAAACUGGAGGCUCAACCUCCAGCCUGCAGUGGGUACGGGCAGACUAGAGUGCGGUAGGGGAGAUUGGAAUUCCUGGUGUAGCGGUGGAAUGCGCAGAUAUCAGGAGGAACACCGAUGGCGAAGGCAGAUCUCUGGGCCGUAACUGACGCUGAGGAGCGAAAGGGUGGGGAGCAAACAGGCUUAGAUACCCUGGUAGUCCACCCCGUAAACGUUGGGAACUAGUUGUGGGGUCCAUUCCACGGAUUCCGUGACGCAGCUAACGCAUUAAGUUCCCCGCCUGGGGAGUACGGCCGCAAGGCUAAAACUCAAAGGAAUUGACGGGGACCCGCACAAGCGGCGGAGCAUGCGGAUUAAUUCGAUGCAACGCGAAGAACCUUACCAAGGCUUGACAUAUACGAGAACGCUGCUAGAAAUGGUCAACUCUUUGGACACUCGUAAACAGGUGGUGCAU